This 505-nucleotide long non-coding RNA is filed under the name Brassica rapa (field mustard). RNAcentral's name for it is "long non-coding RNA (BRAP_LNC000946)". Lineage: Eukaryota; Viridiplantae; Streptophyta; Magnoliopsida; Brassicales; Brassicaceae. The record is from RNAcentral.
GACAAACGAGUUACUGUACAGGUUCUCAAUUUUAAGUUCAAUGAGCAGACAUUCUUGUAAGAUCUGUUCUUUGAAUUCAUUUUUCUCGAAGUUGUCUCGUCGACGCUAAAAAUUUUGAUUGCUUUUUUACCCGUUAGUUAGUUCCAAGAAAACGUUCAUAUACUCUGACAACUUUAUAAUGAUUACUUUACUUCCUUUGCAGCCGUGGAGAGCAAGAUAGGUAAUUAUUGUUUGUAAACUGCUGGGAGAAGUAAACGCAAUUUAAUUUCUGGAUUUGUUGACAUUUGAGAUUCUGCAUUGGAGACAUUUUUGUCUUAGGAUUUUUUUUGGUUAUUUUUUUUAUAUUUUGGAGUGCUUUCAUAUAUUUUUAGUAGUUUCUUACAUCAAAAAUUUAUUACAUUAUUUAAACUCGUAUAAAAAAACUACACUGAAAUAGAACAACCAACAAAAAUCAAUUUUCUAUAAAAAUUACGUGAUCUUAGCUAGUGAAACCACCAUCUUGUUU